UCUACGGGAGGCUGCAGUCGAGAAUCAUUCACAAUGGGGGAAACCCUGAUGGUGCGACGCCGCGUGAGCGAUGAAGUAUUUCGGUAUGUAAAGCUCUAUCAGCAGGGAAGAAAAUGACGGUACCUGACUAAGAAGCACCGGCUAACUACGUGCCAGCAGCCGCGGUAAUACGUAGGGGGCAAGCGUUAUCCGGAUUUACUGGGUGUAAAGGGAGCGUAGACGGCGGUGCAAGCCAGAUGUGAAAGCCCGGGGCUCAACCCCGGGACUGCAUUUGGAACUGUGCUGCUAGAGUGUCGGAGAGGCAGGCGGAAUUCCUAGUGUAGCGGUGAAAUGCGUAGAUAUUAGGAGGAACACCAGUGGCGAAGGCGGCCUGCUGGACGAUGACUGACGUUGAGGCUCGAAAGCGUGGGGAGCAAACAGGAUUAGAUACCCGGGUAGUC
RNAcentral lists this ribosomal RNA (440 nucleotides) under uncultured bacterium. RNAcentral's name for it is "partial 16S ribosomal RNA". It matches the Rfam family "Bacterial small subunit ribosomal RNA", at positions 338 to 795 of the family's 1533-position model. The record is from RNAcentral.